RNAcentral lists this unclassified non-coding RNA (328 nucleotides) under soil metagenome. RNAcentral's name for it is "partial contains 5.8S ribosomal RNA, internal transcribed spacer 2, and large subunit ribosomal RNA". The stretch from base 1 to 120 matches the Rfam family "5.8S ribosomal RNA", at positions 35 to 154 of the family's 154-position model. The record is from RNAcentral.
GAUGAAGAACGCAGUGAAAUGCGAUAAGUAGUGUGAAUUGCAGAAUUCAGUGAAUCAUCGAAUCUUUGAACGCACAUUGCGCCCCUUGGUAUCCCGAGGGGCAUGCCUGUUCGAGCGUCAUUUCACCACUCAAGCCUGGCUUGGUGUUGGGCGACGUCCCCUUUGGGGACGCGCCUCGAAACGCUCGGCGGCGUGGCACCGGCUUUAAGCGUAGCAGAAUCUUUCGCUUUGGAAGUCGGGGCCCCGUCUGCCGGAAGACCUACUCGCAAGGUUGACCUCGGAUCAGGCAGGGAUACCCGCUGAACUUAAGCAUAUCAUAAGCGGAGGA